GUGGUUGUAGUUCAGUCGGUUAGAGCGUCAGAUUGUGGUUCUGAAUGUCGUGGGUUCGAGUCCCACCAUCCACC
RNAcentral lists this transfer RNA (74 nucleotides) under Bacteroidaceae bacterium. RNAcentral's name for it is "tRNA-His". It matches the Rfam family "tRNA". Rfam says of the family: Transfer RNA (tRNA) molecules are approximately 80 nucleotides in length. Lineage: Bacteria; Pseudomonadati; Bacteroidota; Bacteroidia; Bacteroidales; Bacteroidaceae. The record is from RNAcentral.